GACGAACGCUGGCGGCGUGCCUAAUACAUGCAAGUAGAACGCUGAAGGAGGAGCUUGCUUCUCUGGAUGAGUUGCGGACGGGUGAGUAACGCGUAGGUAACCUGCCUGGUAGCGGGGGAUAACUCUUGGAAACGAUAGCUAAUACCGCAUAAGAGUAGAUGUUGCAUGACAUUUGCUUAAAAGGUGCACUUGCAUCACUACCAGAUGGACCUGCGUUGUAUUAGCUAGUUGGUGGGGUAACGGCUCACCAAGGCGAGGAUACAUAGCCGACCUGAGAGGGUGAUCGGCCACACUGGGACUGAGACACGGCCCAGACGCCUACGGGAGGCAGCAGUAGGGAAUCUUCGGCAAGGGACGGAAGUCUGACCGAGCAACGCCGCGUGAGUGAAGAAGGUUUUCGGAUCGUAAAGCUCUGUUGUAAGAGAAGAACGAGUGUGAGAGUGGAAAGUUCACACUGUGACGGUAUCUUACCAGAAAGGGACGGCUAACUACGUG
RNAcentral lists this ribosomal RNA (495 nucleotides) under uncultured bacterium. RNAcentral's name for it is "partial 16S ribosomal RNA". It matches the Rfam family "Bacterial small subunit ribosomal RNA", at positions 28 to 507 of the family's 1533-position model. The record is from RNAcentral.